UUAGAUUGUCGUUGGAGGAACUAUUUUGGAGAUGGUGUGCGAUGACCCGAGGCGAUGAGUGUAUUUGGUUUCGCACAGUUUGCGAAGGUCCGGAAGGAUUUAGCGGUGAAUUUGCAGGAUCGUUGUGCUAAAGUUGCGUCGUCUUCUGGUUCCUCUUGUUUUUUUGUUCUAUCAUGGAAAUUUGUUGAUGUUUCUUGGAGCUGCAGUUUCUGUUUUAGAUCGGCGCAGCCCAUCUCUUGGAGUGUUUAUAUUCUCAACUCAGCUGAGUUUGAACAAGGACCACAUUUUUCUAUUCAGCCCUGAACAUUGGGAUACCGUAUCUAGGGGAGAGGAAGAAGCAUUUCUCACCUAAAUUUCGCCUUCGUUUUUCUCUCCGUGCAGCCACAGCAGCCCAUCACUUCUUUUCGAUAAUUCCAAGUUACUAGAGUUGGUUGUUGAGUUUUUCUUUUAUUGUAGUUUUAAAAGUGCACCGAAUUCGCAGUUUAAUUGCUGAGUAAGCCGUGCCUCUGUUGUGAUUAGGGAGGGUCAGGGUUGGAGUGUCCUAUAACCUCUGACACAGCCCACGGAGAUGUAUAACCGGCGUGGAAGAUCAUUAAUAACGUGCAUUCAUACGUCGUGAUAUGGCACGAGGUGAUUGAAACGGCGGAUGUUUCGUUCGGAGAUGCCACCAAAGAGGAAUUCGUCCACCACGUCUUUCCCCUCAAUGAUGAAGUGAUCACGAAUUUUAAGCAUAUUUUUCUGGUAUUAACCACAUCCAUUAUAAUGGUUUUGUAAAUUUAUAGAUCAUACACGUCUCGUCUUGUAGCACCGAGAAGAGAAGUGAAGAGAAGAUCAAGAGGCUCACUGUGGGUGAGAAUCUCGGUGACGUUGAAAGAGCCUGUUUCUUCGUUUGCUUCAAACUUGCAUCCAGUGAGUGCUUGUAUUUACUCUGUUGUGUAAGAAGAUCGAUCUAAAACCCC
Molecule: long non-coding RNA, 959 nt
Filed under: Physcomitrium patens
Lineage: Eukaryota; Viridiplantae; Streptophyta; Bryopsida; Funariales; Funariaceae
Description: long non-coding RNA (PPAT_LNC004550)
Source: RNAcentral